Long non-coding RNA from Carassius carassius (crucian carp), 1543 nucleotides. RefSeq lists it as uncharacterized. The record is from RefSeq and is a predicted model, not a curated record. Lineage: Eukaryota; Metazoa; Chordata; Actinopteri; Cypriniformes; Cyprinidae. The transcript has 4 exons.
UUCUGACAAUUGUUUUCAUACUUUUCUGGACCAUGACAGUGUGACUCACUUGGCAGUCAAUGGGACAGUCACAAGCCUCCUGGUUUUCAUCCAGAAUAUCUUAAAUUGUGUUCUGAAGACGAAUGAAGCUUUUACGGGUUUGGAACAACAUGGAGAGGUUGUUGCAGAGUGGUAUGUGGCGUCGCUCCAAAGAGGGGAACAGAGUAGACGGCAGAUGCUAGUAAAGUCCUAUUGCAGAGCUGUCAUCUGCAGAGCAGGAGCUGCACUAUAGGAGUUUGCCAGGACAUUUUAUUUUUUACAUCAUUUCGAUUAGUCUUUGGUGUUUUGAAAUGAGCUCCACUGAGCUAAUGUACUCAACUCGCUCACUGAGGAGUCUGCAAUGAGGUAGUCAAGACAUGGUUGUCACUUCAAGCUGCUUCGAUCUGCUGUCAAUGGGUCAGAAAUCUAAAGCUGCUGAUUUCAUACCCUGGGAAAAGCUCUGCACAGCAAGACGAGAGGAAUAAAACUAUCAGGGAGUUAUCAGAAGCAUCUUAAUUAAAGUCUUUCAGUGGCAGAAAGUGAUAACAGCUGGGUUAACACGAUCUUGAAAUGCAUAGGCACAGAUUAAUCAGACUUACCAGUUGUGUAUGUCUGAUGCGUCAUUUUAACAAUGAUCCCUAGAAGUCAUUAAAAGUAAAUCUCACCAUAUGAGUCUGGCAAAAAACUUUAAUAUUUCUGUACUUUGGCUCUGAACAUGCGUGUCACAAUUAUCACAUCAUCAAAAAUCCACAUUUGACCAGUAUAUGGUAUCACAGCUGGUUUAUUUGCGAACGUACAUUUGAUGUUCAGAGUCGAGCAGCUGCACAAUUAUCCCUGUUUUAAUCAUCUGCACCCGAAAUAUAUUAUCUCCUCUGUGCAAAGAAGCAUUGACUAAAACAUUACUCAUUACACUGAAACUGAAGCAUGUCCAAAAUCAUAAUGUUCAGUGUCUUAUAAAACAUCUGCCAAUUAUGUCAUCAAAAGCCAUUAGCAAUAUGCACCUCUUUCAUUUUAGUCUAUGAGGCUUUGUACUUCUUUUGUGGCUCGUGAGAUUAAUGGGCUUUUCUAAUAUGCCUUGUGCUAUUGAUUACAUAAAAAUUGGCCAUUCGGGAUUUGAUAGAAAUGCCUUCAGAGGAUUGAGCUUUUUGUAGUUGACAGGAACUUAACAGACUUGGAGGACAAAGUCAGUGUGGUGUCCUGUGUAGUCACCCUCAAUCACAUCUUCAGAUCAGGUUAUUAUUUAUGACGUAGGAACAUAUGGCAAUUACAAACCAUGAGUGCUGAGCCGAUAAGUGCUUUGAAACCGAUCCAAGAUUAGUCUGUUAUUCCAGCCUCCAGCAAGAGCCGGUUAACCACAAAUGCUGCUUUAACUUCGCCUCGAUUUACUUCGCUGCAGUUUACUGUGUAGCAUGGUUAAAUAUUUGAUCUGAUUGCUCUGAUAACCCUGGCAGCAUGAAAAAGCUUUUUUCCUCUCGCCAACUAAAUGAUAAGACUGGUAAAAUUAAUUUGAACCCUGUAGGCAUUU